GACGAACGCUGGCGGCGUGCUUAACACAUGCAAGUCGAACGGUAAGGCCCUUCGGGGUACACGAGUGGCGAACGGGUGAGUAACACGUGGGUGAUCUGCCCUGCACUUCGGGAUAAGCCUGGGAAACUGGGUCUAAUACCGGAUAGGACUCCGGACUGCAUGGUCUGGGGUGGAAAGCUUUUGCGGUGUGGGAUGGGCCCGCGGCCUAUCAGCUUGUUGGUGGGGUGAUGGCCUACCAGGGCGACGACGGGUAGCCGGCCUGAGAGGGUGACCGGCCACACUGGGACUGAGAUACGGCGCAGACUCCUACGGGAGGCAGGAGUGGGGAAUAUUGCACAAUGGGCGCAAGCCUGAUGCAGCGACGCCGCGUGAGGGAUGACGGCCUUCGGGUUGUAAACCUCUUUCAGCAUCGACGAAGCGAGAGUGACGGUAGGUGCAGAAGAAGGACCGGCCAACUACGUGCCAGCCGCCGCAGUAA
RNAcentral lists this ribosomal RNA (478 nucleotides) under uncultured bacterium. RNAcentral describes it as "partial 16S ribosomal RNA". It matches the Rfam family "Bacterial small subunit ribosomal RNA", at positions 28 to 523 of the family's 1533-position model. The record is from RNAcentral.